GCCUAUACAUGCAAGUCGAACGCUUUGUGGUUCAACUGAUUUGAAGAGCUUGCUCAGAUAUGACGAUGGACAUUGCAAAGAGUGGCGAACGGGUGAGUAACACGUGGGAAACCUACCUCUUAGCAGGGGAUAACAUUUGGAAACAGAUGCUAAUACCGUAUAACAAUGACAACCGCAUGGUUGUUAUUUAAAAGAUGGUUCUGCUAUCACUAAGAGAUGGUCCCGCGGUGCAUUAGCUAGUUGGUAAGGUAAUGGCUUACCAAGGCGAUGAUGCAUAGCCGAGUUGAGAGACUGAUCGGCCACAAUGGGACUGAGACACGGCCCAUACUCCUACGGGAGGCAGCAGUAGGGAAUCUUCCACAAUGGGCGAAAGCCUGAUGGAGCAACGCCGCGUGUGUGAUGAAGGGUUUCGGCUCGUAAAACACUGUUGUAAGAGAAGAAUGACAUUGAGAGUAACUGUUCAAUGUGUGACGGUAUCUUACCAGAAAGGAACGGCUAAAUACGUGCCAGCAGCCGCGGUAAUACGUAUGUUCCAAGCGUUAUCCGGAUUUAUUGGGCGUAAAGCGAGCGCAGACGGUUAUUUAAGUCUGAAGUGAAAGCCCUCAGCUCAACUGAGGAAUUGCUUUGGAAACUGGAUGACUUGAGUGCAGUAGAGGAAAGUGGAACUCCAUGUGUAGCGGUGAAAUGCGUAGAUAUAUGGAAGAACACCAGUGGCGAAGGCGGCUUUCUGGACUGUAACUGACGUUGAGGCUCGAAAGUGUGGGUAGCAAACAGGAUUAGAUACCCUGGUAGUCCACACCGUAAACGAUGAGUGCUAGGUGUUUGAGGGUUUCCGCCCUUAAGUGCCGCAGCUAACGCAUUAAGCACUCCGCCUGGGGAGUACGACCGCAAGGUUGAAACUCAAAGGAAUUGACGGGGACCCGCACAAGCGGUGGAGCAUGUGGUUUAAUUCGAAGCAACGCGAAGAACCUUACCAGUCUUGACAUCCCUUGACACUCCAGAGAUGGAGCGUUCCCUUCGGGGACAAGGUGACAGGUGGUGCAUGGUUGUCGUCAGCUCGUGUCGUGAGAUGUUGGGUUAAGUCCCGCAACGAGCGCAACCCUUAUUACUAGUUGCCAGCAUUCAGUUGGGCACUCUAGUGAGACUGCCGGUGACAAACCGGAGGAAGGUGGGGAUGACGUCAAAUCAUCAUGCCCCUUAUGACCUGGGCUACACACGUGCUACAAUGGCGUAUACAACGAGUUGCCAACCCGCGAGGGUGAGCUAAUCUCUUAAAGUACGUCUCAGUUCGGAUUGUAGGCUGCAACUCGCCUACAUGAAGUCGGAAUCGCUAGUAAUCGCGGAUCAGCACGCCGCGGUGAAUACGUUCCCGGGUCUUGUACACACCGCCCGUCACACCAUGAGAGUUUGUAACACCCAAAGCCGGUGGGGUAACCUUCGGGAGCCAGCCGUCUAA
This 1456-nucleotide ribosomal RNA is filed under the name Weissella confusa. Its description in RNAcentral is "bacterial SSU rRNA". It matches the Rfam family "Bacterial small subunit ribosomal RNA". Lineage: Bacteria; Bacillati; Bacillota; Bacilli; Lactobacillales; Lactobacillaceae. The record is from RNAcentral.